RNAcentral lists this small RNA (30 nucleotides) under Bombyx mori (domestic silkworm). Its description in RNAcentral is "ovarian small RNA-13548". Lineage: Eukaryota; Metazoa; Arthropoda; Insecta; Lepidoptera; Bombycidae. The record is from RNAcentral.
CCAGAAUACGAGGGGCAGCGUGCCUCCGUU